UUGAACGCUGGCGGCAUGCCUUACACAUGCCAGUCGAACGGUAACAGGUCUUCGGAUGCUGACGAGUGGCGAACGGGUGAGUAAUACAUCGGAACGUGCCCGAUCGUGGGGGAUAACGAAGCGAAAGCUUUGCUAAUACCGCAUACGAUCUACGGAUGAAAGCAGGGGACCGCAAGGCCUUGCGCGAACGGAGCGGCCGAUGGCAGAUUAGGUAGUUGGUGGGAUAAAAGCUUACCAAGCCGACGAUCUGUAGCUGGUCUGAGAGGACGACCAGCCACACUGGGACUGAGACACGGCCCAGACUCCUACGGGAGGCAGCAGUGGGGAAUUUUGGACAAUGGGCGAAAGCCUGAUCCAGUCAUGCCGCGUGCAGGAUGGAGGCCUUCGGGUUGUAAACUGCUUUUGUACGGAACGAAAAGACUCUGGUUAAUACCUGGGGUCCAUGACGGUACCGUAAGAAUAAGCACCGGCUAACUACGUG
RNAcentral lists this ribosomal RNA (481 nucleotides) under uncultured bacterium. Its description in RNAcentral is "partial 16S ribosomal RNA". It matches the Rfam family "Bacterial small subunit ribosomal RNA", at positions 30 to 507 of the family's 1533-position model. The record is from RNAcentral.